This 252-nucleotide ribosomal RNA is filed under the name uncultured bacterium. RNAcentral describes it as "partial 16S ribosomal RNA". It matches the Rfam family "Bacterial small subunit ribosomal RNA", at positions 524 to 776 of the family's 1533-position model. The record is from RNAcentral.
GACGUAGGAGGCGAGCGUUGUCCGGAUUCAUUGGGCGUAAAGAGCGCGCAGGCGGCUUGGUAAGUCGGAUGUGAAAUCCCGAGGCUCAACCUCGGGUCUGCAUCCGAUACUGCCCGGCUAGAGGUAGGUAGGGGAGAUCGGAAUUCCUGGUGUAGCGGUGAAAUGCGCAGAUAUCAGGAGGAACACCUAUUGCGAAGGCAGCUCGCUGGGACGUUCUGACGCUGAGACGCGAAAGCGUGGGGAGCAAACAGG